RNAcentral lists this transfer RNA (67 nucleotides) under Buccinum undatum (waved whelk). Its description in RNAcentral is "tRNA-Asn". The record is from RNAcentral. Lineage: Eukaryota; Metazoa; Mollusca; Gastropoda; Neogastropoda; Buccinidae.
UAGAUGAAAGCCAAAAGUAGAGGCGCCUAGCUGUUAAUUAGGAGAAUGUAAUUUGUUACUCAUCUAG